Molecule: long non-coding RNA, 210 nt
Filed under: Capsicum annuum
Lineage: Eukaryota; Viridiplantae; Streptophyta; Magnoliopsida; Solanales; Solanaceae
Description: long non-coding RNA (CANN_LNC019078)
Source: RNAcentral
GUACCCGCGUAAUGCGCGGAUGAUAUUAAAAUAAUGUUUCUAAUCUUUUCAUUAUGGAAUGUGUGUUCAAAUCUGCUAAAUCAUACCACCUUUAGAAAAAAGUUCAGCUUUCAUUUUAUUUCUCAAUGAAAUGUGGAAAAAAGAAAUCUAUACUCCACCCACUUUCCAUUCCUACCCCCACCUCCGCGUCUAUAUCUAUAUCAACCCCCC